RNAcentral lists this ribosomal RNA (584 nucleotides) under Westiellopsis sp. LCRSM-1443. RNAcentral describes it as "bacterial SSU rRNA". It matches the Rfam family "Bacterial small subunit ribosomal RNA", at positions 100 to 720 of the family's 1533-position model. Lineage: Bacteria; Bacillati; Cyanobacteriota; Cyanophyceae; Nostocales; Hapalosiphonaceae. The record is from RNAcentral.
GACGGGUGAGUAACGCGUGAGAAUCUGGCUCUAGGUCUGGGACAACCACUGGAAACGGUGGCUAAUACCGGAUGUGCCUAUGGGUGAAAGGUUAACUGCCUGGAGAUGAGCUCGCGUCUGAUUAGCUAGUUGGUGGUGUAAGAGACUACCAAGGCGACGAUCAGUAGCUGGUCUGAGAGGAUGAUCAGCCACACUGGAACUGAGACACGGUCCAGACUCCUACGGGAGGCAGCAGUGGGGAAUUUUCCGCAAUGGGCGAAAGCCUGACGGAGCAAUACCGCGUGAGGGAGGAAGGCUCUUGGGUUGUAAACCUCUUUUCUCAAGGAAGAAUGAUGACGGUACUUGAGGAAUCAGCAUCGGCUAACUCCGUGCCAGCAGCCGCGGUAAUACGGAGGAUGCAAGCGUUAUCCGGAAUGAUUGGGCGUAAAGCGUCCGUAGGUGGCUGUGUGUGUCUAUUGUUAAAGAGUUUGGCUCAACCAAAUAAGGGCGGUAGAAACUACACAGCUAGAGUGCGUUCGGGGCAGAGGGAAUUCCUGGUGUAGCGGUGAAAUCCGUAGAGAUCAGGAAGAACACCGGGGCGGAAA